GAUGAACGCUGGCGGCGUGCCUAAUACAUGCAAGUCGAGCGAACGGACGAGAAGCUUGCUUCUCUGAUGUUAGCGGCGGACGGGUGAGUAACACGUGGAUAACCUACCUAUAAGACUGGGAUAACUUCGGGAAACCGGAGCUAAUACCGGAUAAUAUUUUGAACCGCAUGGUUCAAAAGUGAAAGACGGUCUUGCUGUCACUUAUAGAUGGAUCCGCGCUGCAUUAGCUAGUUGGUAAGGUAACGGCUUACCAAGGCAACGAUGCAUAGCCGACCGGAGAGGGUGAUCGGCCACACUGGAACGGAGACACGGUCCAGACUCCUACGGGAGGCAGCAGUAGGGAAUCGUCCGCAAUGGGCGAGAGCCUGGCGGAGCAACGCGGCGUGAGUGAUGAAGGUCUUCGGAUCGUAAAACUCUGUUAUUAGGGAAGAACAGAUGUGUAAGGAACUGUGCACAGCUUGACGGUACCUAAUCAGAAAGCCACGGCUAACUACGUG
RNAcentral lists this ribosomal RNA (497 nucleotides) under uncultured bacterium. RNAcentral's name for it is "partial 16S ribosomal RNA". It matches the Rfam family "Bacterial small subunit ribosomal RNA", at positions 28 to 507 of the family's 1533-position model. The record is from RNAcentral.